This 681-nucleotide ribosomal RNA is filed under the name Triticum aestivum (bread wheat). RNAcentral's name for it is "partial small subunit ribosomal RNA". Lineage: Eukaryota; Viridiplantae; Streptophyta; Magnoliopsida; Poales; Poaceae. The record is from RNAcentral.
AUGGGCCUGGCCCGUUGGGAACACACGAAUCAGCAGUUCCCCGAGAGCCAGGCCCGAGCAAUGCUUCGAGGCGCAUGUGGGUGGCUCUCUGAAGACGCGUGUCUCAAGUUAAUCCCUCUCUCUCUCCCUAAUCCUCAAUCCCCUCUCUCUGCCUCUACUCCAGAGCGAUCCCGUCCGCCCGUGCUGGACCUGGCCGGAGCACGGCGCCGGGAGGGUUGCUGCCGCUUGCAAAGUGCGACGUCGAGGGCGGGAGGAGCCGCGGCGGGAGGAAGCGGUUGUGCAGCCGCGCACGGCGCGAAGGAAGGUGGUGGUGCUGCUCGGCAGCCGCGCGCGACGGGAGGUGGUGGUGCUGCUCGGCAGCCGCGCGCGGCGGAGGUGGUGGUGCUGCUGCGGGCGCGGAGGGAUGAAGUAGCGCUGCUCGACGAUCGCGCGCGGCAGGUGGUGCUACUGAUUGCCAGUGGUGAGGGCGAGCGCGAGCCUGUGGCGGCCGCGCAGGUGGCUAGUCCGGUGGCCGCCGAGGGCCACGAACUGAUCCCCACCGGCUGCGGCGGCGGCGCGGCGCAUCUUCUUGUGGAAGCCGGCGACAGCGCCGAGGGAGAGCGAGAGGGAGAGGGACACGGCCUGGUCCGCUGCUGGUCUCCGGUGAUUGGUCAUGGACGGACGAACUGCUCUGGGUUGUGA